GGUUUCGAACAACAGCCCCGCUGCUCGGCGGGGCCUGGGCCGUCUUCUCUCUCGUCUCCACCCAAGCUCUGCUCCUGUUGGGGGAGCAAAAGGCGCUGGAGGCCCAGCUGGGGUUGGGGGGGACGGGGGGAUUGCUGUCCACCGCCCAGAGCUGCCGGACAGACGGAUAGAACCGAGCCUCUUCUCUGAGCUGCUCUGGGAAAAAGACAUGGGAGCCAGAUUGUGAAACAUGGUGUCUAUAGCUCCAAGGCUGCUGAGAUGGAGAUUAAUUACUUUGAUCACAGUGAAUAUUUCACAACAUACAUACAUCAAAUCCUCAAGUUGUACAUGGCUACGACAGUAAAUAAAUAUGAGGCUUUGGGCUGCAACCAUCUUGCUGCCUCAAGGGAAGCCAGCCAGAGGGUGAGGCCAGCACAGGAAACAGUGAAGCCCGCGACUCAGAGAACUGAGCCUCAAGACCUGAUUUGAGUCUCUAGACUAAGCCCUGUCUGAAGCCAACCUUAUCCAUAGACUUCCAAAGAUGCUCAAGCAACCCGACAUGCAGGCCAGGAGGAGACCGUGUCAGGCUGUCCCCCCUGCCUCGGCUGUAGGCACGACACACGUCCAGCCUUCUGGAGAGCCAGCCGUUCGCCGACUCCACCAGUUGUUGGCCAAUUCCUGCCCAUCCCAUCUGCAUGAAUUCAGUAGAAGUUCACUAAGACAUCGUGCUUACGUGAGGAUGAAGAAUAUAUCAAGACGAUUGCAAUAGGAAUUCUGUCCUCGGAAAUCUUAUGUCUGUACUUUCAAAUAUAAUUUAAAAAAGAAAGUAAUAUUUUCUGUAAAAAGGUACAGAAAGAUCCAUUUUUUUUUUCCUGUAUGCAACUGGUACCCUCUUUGUUUGGCCGUGAACACACUGCCACUGAUUCUCCACUGACUCAUUAGCAACCCUUUUGAUGUUUCCAUUUCAAAGUGGUAUUAUCUCUAAAUGUCUUAACUUCCUAGAAUCAAUGUAUUGUGCCUAAAAGGAAGUAACUGGUUAUUCUGAAGUGAUGGACAAGAUAUCUCCCAAUUCCUGAAUUCCACAUAAUUAUCACUAAAUAGUGUUUUCCUACUGACCAGACGUAUCUGUCAUAGCUCUAGACUGCUAAACACACAGCUCUUGUCCUUAAGGAGUGGAUAACCUCUGUAGGACAUUGAACAAUAAAUGAACACACAUAUGUAUUGUAUAUAUAUGAUGGAGUCCCCUGAUUAUUUAGAAGAACAAAGUAAGAACUGACCUUUGGAGGCUCUUCCAAUCAGUUGGAAUAUAAUACAGCAGAGGUAGAGCCCGGCUUGACCCCGAAGGAAAUCUCACAAAAGAGUUGGGAUUUUAGUUGAUGCAAAGGAUGGAAUGGAGUUAACUUCAAAGUGACAGAGUAUCCCAGUUAAAUGAAAUAAGAUGGGAAGGCUCAUGAUUGGGUGGAUGAAAAAGAAGGGCCCCCUUUUUAAAUCCUAGAUUGAAAUAACAUCUGAUAUAUUUGUAGUAUGUAUAAUUUUGUCAUUUUAUGAUUAAUGAUAGACUUGGAAAGAGCUACUCUUGGGUGCAUCCUAGGAAGGCACUAAGAGAAACUUGGGAGAUGACGGGAACCUAUUAUUUUGUUGUGUGGCAAUUAUCUUUCCUCAUUGUCUGAAGGAAAUAGACCUCUAUGGACAGUCCAUUAGGAAACAUUGAUUCUGAAGUGGAAAAGGCCAGGACGUAGAGGUCUUCGACUUGACACAUUCUGUACUUUGGUACUUGUUUGCUCUUUGCUUAGUUUCAAGUGAAAAAUUCCUUUUGAAAAAAAAAAAAAAAGAAGAAGAAGUGGUGCUUUUGUUUCAGCAAACCAGUGGCCUGGAGACUGACGGAUGGGUCUCCAUCAGCUCAGCCAAGGAGCAAGAUGGGGCUCAAGGUACACCAAACUAGGUGAUUGCGAGAGGAGAAGACACUGACUUCUCCUCACCAGGGUCUAUUCUUUGCCAAAUGUCCAACACUAAGCUGACCUGGGCUCAGAGAGGGAGGAAAAGCCUAAGAGGAGGAAUUAGAGGAGACUGGUUCAUCAGGGCACCUUGGUCAAGGAUAUAAGGAUGACAGGGUAAGGAGGUGUAGGUGGGCUCUGAGAAGUUAUUGUCAAGGAGAAAAGCAACAUGGUCAAGGGUGGGGGGAGACAUCCUCUUCGCAGCAGCGCGAACCUUUAUGAAGCCGUCUCCUAAGGCAGAGCAUGCAAAUCCCAUGAGCUGCUGCCACGAAUCUGGCCGAACUAGCUCCUAGCACUCCACAGCAUCCUUGUCAUGGUCAAUUUGGUAAACCAGGCAGGGACUGGAGCCACCAUUUCAAGGGCCUCAUAAAGUGAAACUGCAUUAUAAUUUCAGCAGUGUUCAGAGAAACUGAAGGUCUCAACAAAAUGAAACACUGGGACCACAGACAUGAAGCUCUAUCUUCCCUGCAAACAGCUUAAUAGCAUAUAAAACCAACCUUCCUUUCUGCAAUUAAAUCAGGACAAGAUAAAUGUUUCUAUUCCUUGACGUAACGGCCUUGGAGCACCUUAAUGGAAACACUCUAAUAAAAGUUUAUCUCAAAUACUGACCUGAACCUUAGCAUGGGCUGCAGGAAGAAUGGUGAGCAACAGUUCUGAGCAUUCAGUCUUAUCAAAAAAGAACCUUCUGUGUCAAAACUUGGCAAUGAGGAAAUCGGGAUGAAUUGUGAGAACUGUGGGAUGAGAAAAAUACAAUGACAUCUGGACCACGCCCCUUCCCUCCAGUCUCAGAGAAGUUAUUGCUAAUCUCGUAGGCCAAAGGUCUUCUGAAGACCUGAUGCCUCCAUUGACCCAUGGACAGCGGCUGGGAGAGGAAUAGAAGGGCCUCCCGUGUCUCCUUCCCUGAGAGCGCGUGGAAGGGAUACUUCUCACACUGGAACCGAGCUCUUUAAGGAUAAAAUCCCUUUUUAAUCUCUGAAAGAAAGGAAAAGGAAAAUCUCUCGGCAGCCAUUAAGGAAAUCCUAAGAUGUGCUCAGAGAGAAAAACGCUCCCAAGGAAUGCACCUCUUAGCACUGGAUGGAAGCCUGGCUGCAAUUCCCUCGCAGAGUUUUCCAUUUCCACGGGAAUCGUGGAGAGAUUCCAGGCUUUGCCUCCCCUGAUGACUGUAUUCCACAAAUUCCGGACCCAAGUCACAUGCACAUCCCACUCCCCGGCCCCGGCCCCUUAGCGGGUAACUAGGGACUCACUGAUCCUCAUUUCAACCAGGGCAGCCAGGGGACAGGACGGUGCUUAAAGAACAGGAACAAACAAUAAUUAAGCCAUCUUAAUCCAAAAGAAGCUAUUAAAUUGUGCUACGCUGGGCAGUCAUUUUCAUGCCCACAAAAAUCAUUUAGUGUCUCUAGCUUUAUCUGCUGAAGGGGAAAGCCAGAAAAGAAACCGAUGCUGUGAUUUUUAUGCUGAAAUCUAGAAGUCAAAAAUGGAAUUCAGUUGCUAAAUUCAUUUCCUAUUGUUCACCUUGGCUUAGAAAUACCAUGUUGUGGGCAGCCCGGGUGGCUCAGUGGGUUAGCGCCGCCUUCAGCUCAGGGCCUGAGCCUGGAGACCCGGGAUCGAGUCCCACGUCGGGCUCCCUGCA
Molecule: long non-coding RNA, 3603 nt
Organism: Canis lupus familiaris (dog)
Lineage: Eukaryota; Metazoa; Chordata; Mammalia; Carnivora; Canidae
Exons: 5
Source: RefSeq, a predicted model, not a curated record